CGGGUGAGUAACACGUGGAUAACCUACCUAUAAGACUGGGAUAACUUCGGGAAACCGGAGCUAAUACCGGAUAAUAUUUUGAACCGCAUGGUUCAAAAGUGAAAGACGGUCUUGCUGUCACUUAUAGAUGGAUCCGCGCUGCAUUAGCUAGUUGGUAAGGUAACGGCUUACCAAGGCAACGAUGCAUAGCCUACCUGAGAGGGUGAUCGGCCACACUGUAACUGAGACACGGUCCAG
This 237-nucleotide ribosomal RNA is filed under the name uncultured Staphylococcus sp. Its description in RNAcentral is "partial 16S ribosomal RNA". It matches the Rfam family "Bacterial small subunit ribosomal RNA", at positions 103 to 334 of the family's 1533-position model. Lineage: Bacteria; Bacillati; Bacillota; Bacilli; Caryophanales; Staphylococcaceae. The record is from RNAcentral.